This 393-nucleotide ribosomal RNA is filed under the name uncultured bacterium. RNAcentral describes it as "partial 16S ribosomal RNA". It matches the Rfam family "Bacterial small subunit ribosomal RNA", at positions 523 to 918 of the family's 1533-position model. The record is from RNAcentral.
AUACGGAGGAUCCGAGCGUUAUCCGGAUUUAUUGGGUUUAAAGGGAGCGUAGGUGGGAUAUUAAGUCAGCUGUGAAAGUUUGGGGCUCAACCUUAAAAUUGCAGUUGAUACUGGUUUCCUUGAGUACGGUACAGGUGGGCGGAAUUCGUGGUGUAGCGGUGAAAUGCUUAGAUAUCACGAAGAACUCCGAUCGCGAAGGCAGCCCACCGGGCCGGAACUGACACUGAUGCUCGAAAGUGCGGGUAUCAAACAGGAUUAGAUACCCUGGUAGUCCGCACAGUAAACGAUGAAUACUUGUUUUCGGCGAUAUAAUGUCGGAGGCAAAGCGAAAGCGAUAAGUAUUCCACCUGGGGAGUACGCCGGCAACGGUGAAACUCAAAGGAAUUGACGGGG